AAUAAUCGCUGAAUCUCCUGAAAGGGAGAGCCGAGGAACCAAAUUUUAGGGGUGCAUCAUUAAAGUGAAGGAAACCUUUUAUUCCUAACCCGUCAGCUAACUUGGUAAGCAAAUAAAGGGGA
RNAcentral lists this small RNA (122 nucleotides) under human gut metagenome. Its description in RNAcentral is "ydaO/yuaA leader". It matches the Rfam family "c-di-AMP riboswitch aptamer (ydaO/yuaA leader)". Rfam says of the family: This family represents a conserved RNA structure found upstream of the ydaO and yuaA genes in Bacillus subtilis and related genes in other bacteria. The ydaO/yuaA element is thought to act as a genetic "off" switch for the ydaO and yuaA genes in its native state. The record is from RNAcentral.